GGUGUAAUAAGUUUUCAGUUACAAUGAAAAAGACCCGUUGGGCACUUUUUAACAGUGAUGGUUUUUAUAA
This 70-nucleotide transfer RNA is filed under the name Gammarus troglophilus. RNAcentral's name for it is "tRNA-Val". RNAcentral also lists the same sequence under 1 other name. The record is from RNAcentral. Lineage: Eukaryota; Metazoa; Arthropoda; Malacostraca; Amphipoda; Gammaridae.